CACCGCCCUCUCAAGGCGGAGACCACGGGUUCGAAUCCCGUAUGCGCUACCA
Molecule: transfer RNA, 52 nt
Filed under: Dehalococcoidia bacterium
Lineage: Bacteria; Bacillati; Chloroflexota; Dehalococcoidia
Description: tRNA-Ser
Rfam family: tRNA
About the family: Transfer RNA (tRNA) molecules are approximately 80 nucleotides in length. Their secondary structure includes four short double-helical elements and three loops (D, anti-codon, and T loops). Further hydrogen bonds mediate the characteristic L-shaped molecular structure. tRNAs have two regions of fundamental functional importance: the anti-codon, which is responsible for specific mRNA codon recognition, and the 3' end, to which the tRNAs corresponding amino acid is attached (by aminoacyl-tRNA synthetases). tRNAs cope with the degeneracy of the genetic code in two manners: having more than one tRNA (with a specific anti-codon) for a particular amino acid; and 'wobble' base-pairing, i.e. permitting non-standard base-pairing at the 3rd anti-codon position.
Source: RNAcentral